Long non-coding RNA from Cyprinus carpio carpio, 5669 nucleotides. Lineage: Eukaryota; Metazoa; Chordata; Actinopteri; Cypriniformes; Cyprinidae. The record is from Ensembl.
CCGCAGUCAGUCCGUAACCUGGUCUGGGAACUUGGGGCUAGUCCACGCCAAUAGAGGAACAAUGCCUCCUCAGUUCAAGUCCAACAAAAGACCUGGCGAACUUGUUUGAAUUUCAGAGCACGUCCUUUCUUUCACAGAGAGGACUGCCCCCUCCCGAACACCCUUCAUGAAAAAAAAAGAAAGAAAGAAAAGGAAAGAAAGGGGGGGAAAACAUGCCGACCUUCUCUGCUCAACAGUGCACUUUUCUAUUUGGUGCUGCAGACAAAUAGGUUAUGGGAAACUUCUCAACCCCUCCUCUCUCUCUCUCCCCCCCUCUCACUGGCUCUCGCUUAUACGGUAGCUGUCGUUCUCGUGCGCUUGGACUGUGCUCUUGUGAGAAUCAGAGCCGCUGAGACACGCGUAAUGAACUGAGUAUUAGCGGCAAUUUUAAAUCGAAAGCGCUCUGUGCACGCCGGUUUCUUACCAACAGCAGGAGUUGCAUCUGGUCACGUCGACUUCGGCAUAAUAAUAAAAAAAAACAACAAAAAAAAAAACCUUUGCUCAAGCUACGUUAUGCGAACAGCAAAAAGGAUCGCCUCUUCAGCCUGCACGAGGGAUGCAAACGCACUCUGGAGAUUUCUAAUGACAUCAUCAUCAUCAUCAUCAUCAUCAUCAUCACCUUGCACUCCCGUGGUCCGAGACCUUUGACCUUCUCUAGCUGGUCCAUAUUUUGGUAUUGGAAGCCCGUCCCCCCGCUUACCCCCUCCACCCCCCCACUCCUCGAGAUGUGGCCCUGUUCCCUCUCUCAGACCGCUGGCAGCAGCAACACAAUCCUCCUCUCGUCUCUCUCAUAGCAGCUCUCAGGGAUCUGUGGCAUUGCCGAUCUCCUCCGUGCACGGACAACCUGCCACCCCUCGGCCAAAAAUAAAAGAGAGAUCUCUCCAUUCAGUGCCGAAACAAACGCGAUGUUAUUUCCGUGUGCACUUUUUUCCUCUGGAAUCGGAUUUUUCCUUUGUAUAAUCUCGCUGCUGGUUCCGUGGGAUAUCUAUCGCUGCUGCCACGAUUUAAUAGAGCCAAAGGAGCCUUUUGUGAGAUUGGGAGUGAUGCUUCUGAGGAACUGCGUUGCUCUUUGAAGUGAGGAAGGAAGGUUGAGAGAGCUCUCUCUCCAGCACAUGCCUCCCUCAUUAGUGUCCAGCAGAUGAAGACGCAAGGUCACAAACCCAAUGAGCUGCCCAUUUCAUUCAGUUUUCCCGAAAUGGAAAGAUGACCACUGUGACCUAAUGUUGCAGUACGGUCUGACAGCACAUUGUACACAACAUAUAAAGUAGCUUGAAUAACCCUUGAACCUUGUGUGGAGUGCAUUAUUUUUUAUGAAAUUGCUAUAGUGUCCAACUUUUCAACAUGCUUGUAGAUUUUAUUCAUUCAAUAAAUUGUGAAUUUUCCUAAAAAGGGAACAGGUCUUGUGAUUUAUUUGCUGAACUGUGGGUGAUGAAAUAUUUAAUAUCCUGGGUAUUAAAAUGAUCAGUCUCGGAUCCAUUGAGAGGGUUGACAUGGUUGAAUCAGUACCACACUAAGGAACUGCUGCACAGGGAAUUAUUGCUUCUGUCUGAACAUGUCACCUCUACAAUAUUUCUAUGAUUAUAAUGUACAAUUAUCCUUUCUUUUCGUUUUCUCUGGCUUGUCAUUGUUGAAACAUUUCACACACACAAUAUGAAAGAACAAUAAAGUCUAGACUCAAUGUCAUUGCUUGGAUUUGAUUUAUACACUUAAGUAUUUCACAUGCAUAAUGCAAAGUAGCUCUCACACUUCACGUUUUGUUCUUCAAACAGUUUAGCCCACAUAAUGUGACUAAGGUAAAAUGAGCAAGACAAAUUUCAUGUUUUAAUGUCCCAGAAAAGCUGGUUGUCUGUUUUCUCUGAAUUGCAUCAGGAAGUGGUCAAGAUGCACGAAUAAAGCUACUUUGGUCUGGAAAUGAGAGUUCAUAUAUUCUGCUCUUUCUGCAUGUGUCACAAAGAGUUGAUCACAUGGGAGUCUAAAAGAACACCUGAACACAAAGCCAGGCAUUGUGUGUCGUUCUGACCUCAGUGUCAUGUGACUGUGUCAUGGCCAGGUGUUGCAUGUAUCUGGAGCAGAAAAGAUGUUUUGCUCUUAAGACCAAACCAAACAAACUAAAGGAACAGAGAGGAAAGGAAAUAUGGGAUAACAUCGAAAUAAUAAAAUGUAUUGAGAGUGUGAAUUACAUGUGUUUACGUGGGAUUCGAACAUGCUAUUAGUAUCAUUAUUUAUAUUACAUUUAUUACAUUUCAUGGAAAGAAACAUUAAGAUUUAAAAUUGGGAAGUAUCAUGUAAUCAUGCUCUAUUUAUAGGUCAUUUAUCAAAUUUGUUACAUUGAGCAUGAUGAUCUGAAAUGUUCUUGCUUCCAUUGAAGCUCAACAUGCUCUUUGAAUCAUGUAUGCUGAAUAUUGAAUCAUCUGGUUUAACACAAUAUUGAGUCCAUUUUUUUAAUCAACUUUUCAACUCUAAAAUAUUGUAAUAAACAUUAAUUUAACGACUUAAGGUGUAACAUAAAACCCUAUUGAUACUGAAAAACUAUGCAGAAACCAUUAUUUGAACAAAUAAUGAGCUGUGAGCUGUCACAGAGUUUAUGGUUUCUCACUGCAAACUAUGACUUGUUUUUUGUUUUGUUUUUUAUGUAGCAAAAAUGCUACAUUUAACAGCAUUUUGCUGUAAAAUUUUAUGAAAUGUACGGUUAGAUGUAUUAAAGUUUUUUUUUUUUUUAAUUAUUUUAUUUUAUUUUAUUUUAUUUUAUUUUAUUUUAUUUAAAAAAGGAAUAAACACAGAAUGAUUUCUGCAGAGUUAGGACAUAGAAUGUAAGGUUUGUACAGUAUAAAAAUAAUUUUGUUUAUGGCGAGUUCUCAUAAAACACAAAAACCCAACCUGUGUGUCUCACAUCAGUCCCAUGUGAAAUCCAGCUAAUAAAGAACAUUGUUAACUGGCUUGAAGCAUUCACAAACCCUCCAGCAGUUGUUUUACUUCCAAAGACCAGUAUUUUAGUUUAUUCAGUAGCUCAAGACACCCUCUCGGACAUCUGACGAACACAUGAAUUCACCAUCUCAGUUGUUUCAGUCCAAUCCUUCAGAUUAAUGAUCCCAGACUCGUAAUCUAUAACGCAGAGAUGGAAAAUAAUGUAGAAUUACAAAUGACGGGCAGAGGUAGAAUCUGAUUAGGCAUAUUGAUUGACUGAUGUCCAUUGUAAAUCUAUGAUGACUGAUGUUCCAUCUUCAGUUAUGAAACACAGUUUUAGAGUAGAUCUUCCCAGAACAAUGGCACCGGCCGCUUCAACUCCACGGCACAAUUGAAUUGUCUGUAAGCACAUAGAACCACAAAAAGCCCUGCUAGCUUUGCUUUAGAAUCACUUACGAAUGAUCCGAAAUCAGACACAAACAAUGAAACUCAAUAUACUUUUUGUUGACAUUUGAAAUUUAGAGAAAAGAAAAUAAAGUGAGAGUGCUUUUAAGGCCAAAGAAAGUGACCUUGGUGAGGCCAGCGAGAGGUAUCUAGCUUUAAAAACUCCAUUACUUACUCCAGGACUUGCACUCUCUCUCUUUUCUUGCUUUAAGAAAGAGGAAAGUACUGCGCAGUAUUUCACCUUUAUCUCCCGAUAGCAGGUCUUUGUGUUAUCUUAAUCUUAUUGGAAAGAAGGGAGAAACAAGAAGGAGGGGAAAAGCCUCCAAGGCGAGAUACACCACGCACUCCCCACGGAUGGUGAGAUACCAAACACUUCCUUUCCGAACUUUCCACACUUUCAUGCUAAAGGAGAUGAGAGCCAGUUGCAUUGUAAAGGGAGCUUCUUUUGUAUUUCUCUACAGACAAAUAGAAGGAUACAUCUGAAAAGCAGAGCAUAUGCUGCCGCACGAGGUGUACGCGCGCCUGCAUGUGUGCGUUUGUGUAUAUGUACUCGCGCAGAGCCGGGCUGAAUAGCACAAAGAGAACUUUUAAAGAGAGAACUGUGACAUAUUCCCAGAGUGUCUGUCUGCCAGUCAGAAUUCCCAAGCAUGCUGGGUGAUGUCCUCCAAAGCACAGAUCUACCUGUGCAAGAGGCCCCUGUGACAGAACACAUGCAGCACUGAUUUUCACAGAUGGGUUGAAGUGGCCUGUGAGGUUUCUCUCUCUCUCGCUUCAAACUGAGAAAGACAAGUUUUGGGCCACACUAAAACUGUAGCAGGUUUUAGUUCGUAGUUAGUAUUUAUUUAUUUUUUAGCCUUGGCACCACAAUCUGACUCUGAACACAACGGGUUUCACUCAUAAUCACAAGCAGACACAGUGUAAACCACCUGUGAAAUGUUAUAACAAUAUGAUCAUUUACAUAAAAAUGUUUUUACAAAAGGUAUGCACAUAAUGUUUUGAGCAAGCUCCGAAUGAAAAUAAUCUGAUUAUGUAUUUUGUGUGGUGUGUUUGUGGUCAAUACAUAGGCCUGAGCUCAGACGCAAGUACAGUUCCUCACUCUGCGUGUUUGAAUUGAUAUGGUUGUUUAUUGUUACAAAACUACAUUUGGUGAGUGUAAAAUGUUUAUAUUGGUCAAUAAGAGGCUAGCUGAAGCCUUGCAUCCUGUGAUUUAUUUCUGGUUUGCUGAGUUUUUUAUGAGGACUGUGACAAGCUAGGCAAAAUAACAGACAAUGGUAGUUGAAUUUCUGGAAAAUAAGCAGUGAAGGGAGGCAUGCAAUUACAAGUAUGGGAAAGCAUUAUUUCUAAAUAUAUGAUAAAAACCUCAUGUUUCUGCCUUCAAUUUAACAUCACAUAUUCACAUUCAUCUCACAAUUAAAAAUAAGACACAGAAAUGACUGUGAAUGGCUCAGGAAAGUGAUUUUUUUUUAAUAAUGAGUUUGGACUGUAGUAUCUGUAUCUCAUCUGGCUAUCCCACUGCUCUGAGAGGCCCUUUCUUCUCCCAGCAUGCCUUGAGGCAGUGUGGUUUAAACAAGUGGAGUGCUUUUUGCUUUUUAUCUGAUACAGAACUAACAGUCAAAGCAUUAUUGUUUCAUGAGACCUAACAAAACUGAUGGAUGAAAAGCCGAAACAGAGGGCAAGUUAAUGUUGUUCUUUUUUUCCUGUAAAGAUAAUUUCAAUUGCAAACUUUAAAAUAUGUUGCAUAGAGUUGGGAAACCUCUUUGGACAAGACUAAACACUGAAACUCAUCACAAUUUCUGUUUGAAAAGAAACGAAAAACAGGAAAGGCAUCAAUAAGAUUUUUAAACCAGAUGUUGGAGGGGUUUUGAUUUGGUAAUGAGUGAUUUCUAAGGCCAAGUAUAUAUUAAACAGUUGAUUGAAUUAAACAUUGCUCCUUGUUUAACGAACGCAUGGCUAUGCUUUCAUUUAAUAACUGUUGUUUCUGACACAAAGGAAUUGUAAGACUUGUAAUACAUAAAGACUUCUUUGGGCUGCUUUUAUGAAACCUGUAUGAUGAUUUUGCAUCAUUUUUGAAGCUUAAAUAUUAAAUUUCCAUUCACUGUAAUUGCAUGGAAAAGAUAGACCAGUAUCAUUUUCAGAAUUUUAUUUUUGUGUUUUAUGGAAGAAUGAAUGUUAAACAGGCUGAAUAAUAAUGCAAAAGCAACUUAUUUGGCAUGGUAAAAGACAAUAAAUAAAUAAAUUACCUUCGUCAGUUGCUCUGGUAUUUCUGCACAAGAAAUGCAUCG